Long non-coding RNA from Artibeus jamaicensis (Jamaican fruit-eating bat), 868 nucleotides. RefSeq lists it as uncharacterized. NCBI's taxonomy places the organism in Eukaryota, Metazoa, Chordata, Mammalia, Chiroptera, Phyllostomidae. The transcript is spliced from 4 exons. The record is from RefSeq and is a predicted model, not a curated record.
CUCUCUGCUGGGUUCCAAGGUAACAAGGCCUCACCCAUAUUUUCUCUGUGGGUUUCAGGCCCCUCCUUGAACAGUUCUGUUUUGCAGAGUGAGAGGAGUUGUUUGCCUUCCUGCAAUCUCUCUGUCGACUAUUCCCAUCCCCCACCAAGCGCUGCUGACACCAAUCCUACCUGCCUGGGAAGAAGCUUUCAGCUAGAAUUUGCUGAAAUCUUUUAAUGCUUUUUUGCUAGAGAAAGAAGAAAAGGUGUUGCUUCUUAUGUUCCAAAAAAAUUCCUGCUGGUAUGUAUGUGCUGAACCACAGACGGAAAUCUUGCGUUGCCUCUGGGAAGGAAAAGAGCACCUGUGCUGGUAUCUGAAGUGAGUUCAUCACUUUCCGGCCCCGUUGGCGCAAACUAGCCGAGAACAGUCCAGUGACAAGGCCUCUUUGCUCGUGUACAGCCCACCUUCGACAAAGCCAUGGCCAGGGGUCCAGAGAGAAUGGUUUUCUGAGAGCACACAGGACUGAAGAAGCCAACGCAAACUGGAAUUCCCUUCUGUCUAGGUGAAACAGGUUUGGUCCUGCCUGCUGCCCUCCUAACACUUGCUACCAGCCAAGUCCCAGACUUGGAUCCUGACAUGCCUAGAAAACUAUUGCUCUAUCUCCAAAACCAAAUUUAAAAAUAAGCUUUGAAGAAGCCUCCCCGAAGGGGGGAUACUUGCUCUUGCAUUACAGUUACCACGUGCGAGGAAGCCCAAGCCACGUGUAGGUAUUCUGGCCAACUGCCAGCCUCAAUGUCAGCCUUCAAGAUGGAUCCCAGGGCUAGUCAUCAUCUGACUGCGAAUGCACGAGAGAUCCAAAAGAACCCUGAGGGAAGUCCAGUCAACCUCA